Molecule: ribosomal RNA, 450 nt
Filed under: uncultured bacterium
Lineage: Bacteria
Description: partial 16S ribosomal RNA
Rfam family: Bacterial small subunit ribosomal RNA
Source: RNAcentral
GUGGGGAAUCUUCCGCAAUGGACGAAAGUCUGACGGAGCGACGCCGCGUGAGUGAAGAAGGCCUUCGGGUCGUAAAGCUCUGUCAUCAGGGACGAACGGCCGGUGGAGUGGAAAGCCACCGGAUUGACGGUACCUGAGAAGGAAGCCACGGCUAACUACGUGCCAGCAGCCGCGGUAAUACGUAGGUGGCAAGCGUUGUCCGGAAUUAUUGGGCGUAAAGCGCGCGCAGGUGGGAUCUUACGUCCAUUUUUAAAGUUCGGAGCUCAACUCCGUGAUGGGAUGGAAACUGGGAUUCUUGAGUACCGGAGAGGAAAGCGGAAUUCACCGUGUAGCGGUGAAAUGCGUAGAUAUGGGGAGGAACACCAGUGGCGAAGGCGGCUUUCUGGACGGUGUCUGACACUGAGGCGCGAAAGCCAGGGGAGCGAACGGGAUUAGAAACCCUGGUAGUCC